GCCACUGUGGUCUAGCGGUUAGAACGCUGGCCUUGUAAUCCUGGGGUCUCGGGUUCGAUUCCCGACGGUCCCC
This 73-nucleotide transfer RNA is filed under the name Zootermopsis nevadensis. It matches the Rfam family "tRNA". Rfam says of the family: Transfer RNA (tRNA) molecules are approximately 80 nucleotides in length. Lineage: Eukaryota; Metazoa; Arthropoda; Insecta; Blattodea; Termopsidae. The record is from Rfam by way of RNAcentral.